UCCCCCACCGCCACUGCGAAAAAAAAAGGCAAAGAACGCAGAAGCGAAGCUGCAGCUGCAAUCGUGUGCUCAUUCACCUUGACCCCCCGUCAUGUUUGUCUUCGAGCAGGCUGCGCCUUCAUCGGCGGCAGCUGAUGUGUCGGCGUGCGCCUCCUUCAGUGAUGCAGAGCCGUACAAAAGCCUCUUCAUGAAGUGGGGCCUCCUGCGACUAGGGGAGUGGAACAUGCAUACGUACCGGUACCGCUGCCCCAGCGAGGUGCCCUCUUUCACGGAGGGAACGUUGUCCGCACAACCUGUAGCCUCGCCAUCCUCAUGUCGAACUGCGAACGCAGCCGCUGCGACUGUCUCUGCUGUCGCGCUUCGCUUUCAUGACGGUGUUGCUGCAGACUUUCUGCGCAGCCUGUUUGCGGCCCCGUGCGUGCGCUCUGAUCUAGUGGGCGAUGACGCCCAUCAUGCACAGAGCGUCUUGGGGGCUAACGAGCUCCAGUUCCGUCCUCUGACGUGCCGCUGGACGACGCUCGAGCCGUUGCGCCACGGCCUCGUAGAUGCGAAGGUUGUGCGACAGGUUCUGCGCGAUGUGGAUGGUGCAACUGUGCGAGAUGCCAAUCAGCCCGUAUACUUCCUGCCAACUGUGAAACGCGCGGAGGAGCUUCUGCCUCACGGCGAGGUCAUCAGUGAUGAGCUGCGAGCACUCUUUCUGCGGGCUCACAGCCGCCCAGUCGCACAGGCCAAAGGAGAGUGCGGCGAGCUCUACGACGCGAGCAGCCGGGAAGAUACCGACACUGACGACGAUGAUAUGUGGGGCUCGAUGAGUGGUGCGAGACUUCCAAUGCGGCAGUUGCGUGGCGUGUUCGGCAAAGAGUCGCGCGAGGAGUUCCUGUAUCACGUUGUGUGGCGACUGGUCGCCGGUAGUGGGCCCCUGAACCAGUUUGACGACGACGCGGCCGUGUACUUGGAUGCGGCGCGAGAGCUGUAUCGCCGCCUUGUCAAGUCGCUUCACGUUGUCGAAGCAACUGAGCAAGAGGCUGAUGGUGAUGUGGCGGCGUUGGAGGAGCCUAACAGCGCCUCAGUUCGGUACCACGCUGUAGUGGGCACUUCUGUUUAUCAAGUCAUCACAGCGCCAGGGAUGACGCUGUUUCCUCGUAGCGAUGGCGUGCACCCAAGCAACCUGAACUACUGCUACGUAGCGGUGAAUCCGUCGGAGCAAACUGCAACCGUUUGGUAUCAUCGGUGCUGACGCGGGACGGGCGAUGUCCUCUCUCGUGCUACGGGCGGACUCACUCACGAGCGUGGAAAGAGAAAGAUCGCCUCCCUGUCGUUCUUCAUACCUUGACUGGCGGGCAUGGCUCUCACUGGGAGGCGGUCUCUCUCUCUGUUCUCCAGAGCAGGGCAGCAGUUCUCCUCGCCUUCGCCUCCGCCCAGCGGAGAACACCGCAUAGGCACGUUGGCUCCUUCCUAUUCGCCUUCUCAGCUGCGCUUUUUUGUAGCGGUGCGGAGGCGCUCGCCUCUCCGUUACACGGUGCUCGAUGCGCGCGCACGUGCCGAUACGAGCCUCUCUGAAAGAGAGGGGCGCUCCUUCUUCGUUUGAGAGAAGGGCACGAUUGUCCGGGUCUCCACGUGCACAGAAGCGGCGGCACGGGGCGCGGGGCUCCGCUCUCUGCCGGCAGUAGUCGCCGCGUCUUCGUCACCUUUCCGUCGCCCUGGCGUGAUGGCGAUUGGGUGUGUGCUUCAGUCGUGUUUUGUCGUUUCUCUAGCGACAUGCGCCCACGACGAAGGGGGUUGUGACACAUCUCCGUGCGUGGUAUUUCAGGCUUCAGUGCCCCCAUUUCCCUGCCCCCCACUCUGUACGUGGGCGGAAGCCAAGCAGCCCUCCUCCCCUCCAUCCCCCUGCCAGGCGCUGAGCUACUUCUGGUGGUGGCAGGGCGGCGCACCUACCUACGUAGGGAGAGGUCAGAGCGAUGCACGGCUACUGACGUCGGCAGUGAGGCCCUGGCUGGCGUCGCGUCGAAGGGACCUGCGACAGUGGACGCGCUUGUGCCAUCGAUGUGAUGGGCAGGGUGUGCCAGCUUGACUCGGGCGUAUUUUACCCAGCCGCUGCUGCCCUGCUGGUGUGGGGCGUCCGCGUUUCACCCAGAGAGAGGUGCAAGGCGUGACUGCCGGCUUGAGGAGGGAGCGGCUGUGAGGUGUGGCGUGGGCAGCGCUUGAAGCGGAGACCGUGCUCCGAUGGCUGAGUCGGCGCACUUCUGUAAGGCGUGUGUCUACGAGCGCUUCUCCGCACCAGGCGAUGGGGGGCUGUGGCAGUCCGGGUGGAGUUUGGCCCAUGUUGCGAUGUAGAAAGAAGAAGCGCAACAAGGAAUCAAAAAUCUCCUUCUGCAGACGAGCGUAGCCCACAUAAGAGUCGGAGAGCGAAGCAACGGAUGCUCGAUGGGACUGCUUUUGCGUAUGCAAACAACUGCUGCCGCCGCCACUGCCCAUGGCUCUGCACACGCCUCUUUCUCUACCCUCGAUUGUUGCUUGCCCUGAGCGCCCUGCCUCGUAUUGCCGCAACUCUGGAUUACUCUCCUCCUCUCCGGGCCACAGAAGAGUACUUCAGCGUGGGGUGGGUGUGCGGGGGGAGUGCAGAUGACGACCUUCUCAGUGUGCUGACAUCUCCCGUGAAUCGAUUCUUGGAUUGACGCUGCUCAGCGCGCCCAUUACUGCCGCUCCGUCUCGCGCAUGAGCACUGCGGCGCCGGUGAUGCCGUGGGAGACGCGCCUUAUCAUGGACGCUGCCAUUCCGUUUGAAAUGGGAAGCAUAUACCUGAAGGUCAGCGUCGAGGCGGAAGUCCACGCGCUCGUGGACCAGGUGAGGCAGUCCGAAACUCGCAGUGUGCAAUAUAGCAUUAGCCGGCAGGGGCACGCGUUAUGGAGGGGCGGCCGCAAUGGCGUGCCCGCUGCUCAUGCAGAAGACGCAGAUCCUCGGGGAGGCAACAAAGUCGUCGUCCCCGCACUAACGCCAACCGCGUGCAGAUGCCCGAGCGGAUCAAGGCAGCGACGCU
RNAcentral lists this unclassified non-coding RNA (3037 nucleotides) under Leishmania donovani. RNAcentral's name for it is "gene:LdHU3.31.1830(CDS-product:Domain_of_unknown_ function_(DUF4498)_putative)". The record is from RNAcentral. Lineage: Eukaryota; Euglenozoa; Kinetoplastea; Trypanosomatida; Trypanosomatidae.